GAAUCUCUAACGAAAGGGAAUUGGAGGCCGCACACGGUCCGGUAACUGUGACGUCGGCUCCGCCAAGGCGAGUAGCCAGGGUUGGACCGCCCGCUGCUUUCCCUCUGCGCGCAAAUCCUGACUGGCUUGGGCAAAAGCAUCCAAAGACCCUAGGAUUGCAGAAGGUCAACAGUCUCCACUGGAGAAAAGGCUCCUGAGUCUUGGUGGUGUGCACACU
Long non-coding RNA from Alexandromys fortis (reed vole), 217 nucleotides. RefSeq lists it as uncharacterized. Lineage: Eukaryota; Metazoa; Chordata; Mammalia; Rodentia; Cricetidae. The record is from RefSeq and is a predicted model, not a curated record. The transcript has 3 exons.